AAUCAACAUCUUUACAUGCAAAUGCCAUCAAAAGGACUUUUCCAAGGCUUGUAAUGAGGUUGGGCUAACAAGAAAGAAUUGGUUUUUCUAAAAUGCAAAAUCCUUGAAUCAAGAGAGCUAACAAAAUUUUCAACGUUUAAGCACCACUCUCACCAAUGUCUCUCAUUCCCAAUUUUUCCCAUUUCUUUUUCUUUUGCAUUGAGCUCUUCUUCAUGCUUUUCUUCUUUUCUUUUCUUUUUCUCAUGAAUUUUCUCUUUUCACAACAAUUGAGCUCAAUGUCUUUCAUUUGCUUUUUCAAUUUUCCCCCGUACAACCCCAAACUUGAACCUUUUCAUCACAUACAAGUUAGCUCAUCCCAACUCAAGGUAAAGAAUUUCAAAACAAGGGAUCACAUCCUGUUUAAGGCUAAGGUUCAAAAAGGGUAUAAUAUUU
This 432-nucleotide long non-coding RNA is filed under the name Vigna radiata. RNAcentral describes it as "long non-coding RNA (VRAD_LNC001803)". Lineage: Eukaryota; Viridiplantae; Streptophyta; Magnoliopsida; Fabales; Fabaceae. The record is from RNAcentral.